This 244-nucleotide long non-coding RNA is filed under the name Manihot esculenta (cassava). Its description in RNAcentral is "long non-coding RNA (MESC_LNC001425)". Lineage: Eukaryota; Viridiplantae; Streptophyta; Magnoliopsida; Malpighiales; Euphorbiaceae. The record is from RNAcentral.
UGCAGAAUGCAGCUCCGCCUGGAGGGACUGGGUAUGAGCUUGAGCUGCUGUGAGGUUGCCCCUAGCAUCACUAGUCGUAGAUAAAUUCUCCUCCAGUCGCGCCUCCUCAAUCCGGCGAUCCACAGAUUCCCGGAGAGAGUGGUUGCGGGCAUCCACCUCCAUAAAGAGGCCCAUCACCUAAUACAAAGGAAAAACUGUUAAAACAAAGAAAACCAGAAUGAAAACAAAGGAGGUAGCCUAGCUU